CCCGCGAGGGGAGUGGCAGACGGGUGAGUAACGCGUGGGAACAUACCCUCCGGUUCGGAAUAACUCAGGGAAACUUGAGCUAAUACCGUAUACGUGCGAGAGCAGAAAGAUUUAUCGCCGAAGGAUCGGCCCGCGUCCGAUUAGCUAGUUGGUGAGGUAAUGGCUCACCAAGGCGACGAUCGGUAGCUGGUCUGAGAGGAUGAUCAGCCACAUUGGGACUGAGACACGGCCCAAACUCCUACGGGAGGCAGCAGUGGGGAAUAUUGGACAAUGGGCGCAAGCCUGAUCCAGCCAUGCCGCGUGAGUGAUGAAGGCCUUAGGG
This 322-nucleotide ribosomal RNA is filed under the name uncultured bacterium. RNAcentral describes it as "bacterial SSU rRNA". It matches the Rfam family "Bacterial small subunit ribosomal RNA", at positions 83 to 422 of the family's 1533-position model. The record is from RNAcentral.